This 485-nucleotide ribosomal RNA is filed under the name uncultured bacterium. Its description in RNAcentral is "bacterial SSU rRNA". It matches the Rfam family "Bacterial small subunit ribosomal RNA", at positions 28 to 475 of the family's 1533-position model. The record is from RNAcentral.
AACGAACGCUGGCGGCGUGGCUAAGGCAUGCAAGUCGUACGGACCACAUGGAAGGUAACGGAAGUGUGGUUAGUGGCGGACGGGUGAGUAAUGCAUGGGUAACGUACCCCGCGCACAGGGAUAGCGGCGCCCUUCGGGGCUUUAGCGAAAGUGCCGGUAAUACCUGAUGACAUCCGGAGGCUGCAUGGUCUCUGGAUCAAAGGUGGGGACCCUUCGGGGCCUGCUGGAGUGGGAUCGGCCCAUGUCCUAUCAGCUUGUUGGUGGGGUAACGGCCUACCAAGGCGGCGACGGGUAGCCGGCGUGAGAGCGCGACCGGCCACAUCGGGACUGAGACACUGCCCGGACACCUGCGGGUGGCUGCAGCAACGAAUAUUCCGCAAUGGGCGAAAGCCUGACGGAGCGACGCCGCGUGAAGGAUGAAGUCCCUCGGGAUGUAAACCUCAAUAGUUUGUCCGGAAGCAAACCGGCUCAACAGGCCGGGGCGG